GAUGAACGCUGGCGGCGUGCCUAAUACAUGCAAGUCGAGCGAACAGACGAGGAGCUUGCUCCUCUGACGUUAGCGGCGGACGGGUGAGUAACACGUGGAUAACCUACCUAUAAGACUGGGAUAACUUCGGGAAACCGGAGCUAAUACCGGAUAAUAUAUUGAACCGCAUGGUUCAAUAGUGAAAGACGGUUUUGCUGUCACUUAUAGAUGGAUCCGCGCCGCAUUAGCUAGUUGGUAAGGUAACGGCUUACCAAGGCGACGAUGCGGAGCCGACCUGAGAGGCUGAUCGGCCACACUGGCACUGAGCCACGGUCCAGACUCCUACGGGAGGCAGCAGUAGGGAAUCUUCCGCAAUGGGCGAAAGCCUGACGGAGCACCGCCGCGUGAGUGAUGAAGGUCUUCGGAUCGUAAAACUCUGUUAUUAGGGAAGAACAAAUGUGUAAGUAACUAUGCACGUCUUGACGGUACCUAAUCAGAAAGCCACGGCUAACUACGUG
Molecule: ribosomal RNA, 497 nt
Filed under: uncultured bacterium
Lineage: Bacteria
Description: partial 16S ribosomal RNA
Rfam family: Bacterial small subunit ribosomal RNA
Source: RNAcentral